RNAcentral lists this ribosomal RNA (427 nucleotides) under uncultured Pseudomonas sp. RNAcentral's name for it is "bacterial SSU rRNA". It matches the Rfam family "Bacterial small subunit ribosomal RNA", at positions 8 to 451 of the family's 1533-position model. Lineage: Bacteria; Pseudomonadati; Pseudomonadota; Gammaproteobacteria; Pseudomonadales; Pseudomonadaceae. The record is from RNAcentral.
AGAGUUUGAUCCUGGCUCAGAGCGAACGCUGGCGGCAGGCUUAACACAUGCAAGUCGAGCGGGCACUUCGGUGUCAGCGGCAGACGGGUGAGUAACGCGUGGGAACGUACCUUUUGGUUCGGAACAACACAGGGAAACUUACGCUAAUACCGCAUAUGUCCUACGGGAGAAAGCAGGGGACCUUCGGGCCUUGCGCUAUCAGAUGAGCCUAGGUCGGAUUAGCUAGUUGGUGGGGUAAUGGCUCACCAAGGCGACGAUCCGUAACUGGUCUGAGAGGAUGAUCAGUCACACUGGAACUGAGACACGGUCCGGACUCCUACGGGAGGCAGCAGUGGGGAAUAUUGGACAAUGGGCGAAAGCCUGAUCCAGCCAUGCCGCGUGUGAAGAAGGUCUUCGGAUUGUAAAGCACUUUAAGUUGGGAGGAAGG